GAGAGAAACCAACCAGUUCCUGCAUGCAUGAUCCCAGGGAGUAUGGUCAGUCUAACGAUAUUUCCUGGGGUUGUGCGGUGUAUGGGACACAGGACAUGCUGCUUUGCCAAAACGCCUAAUGAUCCUGAGGUCCACUACUGAUGAUGUGUCCCAAAAUUCUCUGACCUGGAUGAAGACUGUUCCAUCAAAACCUAACUACGUAGUCUGCCUAUUCUCCUUUUGCUUUUCUUUUUUUCUUCUGCUCCUCCUUUAGAGUGGGUGAGGACAAAGUAGGAAGAACCCUGAGUGACAUGCCAUGGCCAGUGCCUUGCCGUGGGCUCUCUACUCCAAACUGUGGCGUCAAAUACAGACACUUUGGGACCCUAGAAAUAAGACUCAACAAUGGACUGUCCUGAAGCCACCAACCCAAAGUGUCUCUAUCUUUCUUGGCUCUGAUUGGUUGUUUCAGUCCAGGCCCAGUGGAUUCUUGCAAACACCAUUAGAAGCACUAGGAGGAUCCAGAUGAACCUGAUUUUUUUUUUUUUUUUUUUACAAUUAUCUGUCUCAUGUUCUACUGUCAGGAUAUAGUGAAAGUUUCAGCAAAUAUGACAAAAAGUUACCCACUGCAUCUUACCUACCCUGUCACCCACGUUUCCAGAAAGACUGUACUAUAAAAGGCAUCUAGUUAAUUCUUAUCAAUGGGAAAGUUGGUGUCGCGAGUGGUGGGACUCCAAAUACAGCUGUGAGGGGUUAAGGGUUAAAGUCCAUGCCAAAAACCAAAGGACCAAUGCAUAUGAGUAUGAGUAUGAUCAGUGGGUGACUGUUUGCACCUCUUGCAAAUAUCACUUGUAUCUGAGUACAUUUUUGCCAACACAUAUUUAUCCAGAAACAGCCCUAUAGGAACUGUGGUUUGGUAAAAUGUUUAUUUGCAGGCCUGGAUAAGAGAUAAAUUAUUUAUUAUUAAAGAUGGAAAUCUUCA
Dicentrarchus labrax (European seabass) is the source of this 958-nucleotide long non-coding RNA. RefSeq lists it as uncharacterized. The transcript is spliced from 2 exons. The record is from RefSeq and is a predicted model, not a curated record. Lineage: Eukaryota; Metazoa; Chordata; Actinopteri; Moronidae.